RNAcentral lists this ribosomal RNA (492 nucleotides) under uncultured bacterium. RNAcentral's name for it is "partial 16S ribosomal RNA". It matches the Rfam family "Bacterial small subunit ribosomal RNA", at positions 29 to 507 of the family's 1533-position model. The record is from RNAcentral.
AGUGAACGCUGGCGGUAGGCCUAACACAUGCAAGUCGAACGGCAGCACAGUAAGAGCUUGCUCUUACGGGUGGCGAGUGGCGGACGGGUGAGGAAUACAUCGGAAUCUACUUUUUCGUGGGGGAUAACGUAGGGAAAUUUACGCUAAUACCGCAUACGACCUACGGGUGAAAGCAGGGGAUUUUCGGACCUUGCGCGAUUGAAUGAGCCGAUGUCGGAUUAGCUAGUUGGCGGGGUAAAGGCCCACCAAGGCGACGAUCCGUAGCUGGUCUGAGAGGAUGAUCAGCCACACUGGAACUGAGACACGGUCCAGACUCCUACGGGAGGCAGCAGUGGGGAAUAUUGGACAAUGGGCGCAAGCCUGAUCCAGCCAUACCGCGUGGGUGAAGAAGGCCUUCGGGUUGUAAAGCCCUUUUGUUGGGAAAGAAAAGCAGCAGGUUAAUACCCCGCUGUUCUGACGGUACCCAAAGAAUAAGCACCGGCUAACUUCGUG